Molecule: ribosomal RNA, 455 nt
Filed under: Porphyromonas catoniae
Lineage: Bacteria; Pseudomonadati; Bacteroidota; Bacteroidia; Bacteroidales; Porphyromonadaceae
Description: bacterial SSU rRNA
Rfam family: Bacterial small subunit ribosomal RNA
Source: RNAcentral
GAUGAACGCUAGCGAUAGGCUUAACACAUGCAAGUCGAGGGGCAGCAUGGUCUUAGCUUGCUAAGACUGAUGGCGACCGGCGCACGGGUGCGUAACGCGUAUGCAACUUGCCUCACAGAGGGGGAUAACCCGUCGAAAGACGGACUAAUACCGCGUACACUCCAGCUUGGGCAUCCAAGCUAGAGGAAAUGAAUUUCGCUGUGAGAUAGGCAUGCGUCCCAUUAGCUAGUUGGUGAGGUAACGGCUCACCAAGGCGACGAUGGGUAGGGGAACUGAGAGGUUGAACCCCCACACUGGUACUGAGACACGGACCAGACUCCUACGGGAGGCAGCAGUGAGGAAUAUUGGUCAAUGGGCGAGAGCCUGAACCAGCCAAGUCGCGUGAAGGAUGACUGUCUUAUGGAUUGUAAACUUCUUUUGUAGGGGAAUAAAGAACAGCACGUGUGCUGUAGUGA